UAAAGCAAGGCACUGAAAAUGCCUAGAUGAGUGAAGCCACUCCAUAAACA
Molecule: transfer RNA, 50 nt
Filed under: Dicotyles tajacu (collared peccary)
Lineage: Eukaryota; Metazoa; Chordata; Mammalia; Artiodactyla; Tayassuidae
Description: Pecari tajacu (collared peccary) partial tRNA-Phe
Source: RNAcentral